GACGAACGCUGGCGGCGUGCUUAACACAUGCAAGUCGAACGGAAAGGCCCUGCUUUUGUGGGGUGCUCGAGUGGCGAACGGGUGAGUAACACGUGAGUAACCUGCCCUUGACUUUGGGAUAACUUCAGGAAACUGGGGCUAAUACCGGAUAGGAGCUCCUGCUGCAUGGUGGGGGAUGGAAAGUUUCGGUGGUUGUGGAUGGACUCGCGGCUUAUCAGCUUGUUGGUGGGGUAGUGGCUUACCAAGGCUUUGACGGGUAGCCGGCCUGGGAGGGUGACCGGCCACCUUGGGCCUGAGAUACGGCCCAGACUCCUACGGGAGGCAGCAGUGGGGAAUAUUGCACAAUGGGCGGAAGCCUGAUGCAGCAACGCCGCGUGCGGGAUGACGGCCUUCGGGUUGUAAACCGCUUUCGCCUGUGACGAAGCGUGAGUGACGGUAAUGGGUAAAGAAGCACCGGCUAACUACGUG
RNAcentral lists this ribosomal RNA (468 nucleotides) under uncultured bacterium. RNAcentral's name for it is "partial 16S ribosomal RNA". It matches the Rfam family "Bacterial small subunit ribosomal RNA", at positions 28 to 507 of the family's 1533-position model. The record is from RNAcentral.